CUAGAUAUCGAAAUAAGCACCCUAGUGUGGAUAUAGUUAAUAUGAAGCAGUUGCAAAAUUUAAAUCUUCAUCCCACAUAAGUGCAGAAAUUGUUAAAGCAAUUAGCCGAUGAGAGGUGUGGAGCAAAAAAUAAUCAAGAAAAUUAUGAAGGCGACAUGUGGAUUUUAGGGGUGAAAAAGACAAAAUUACCCCUAGGGCACAUCAUGACUCUCACGCGCAUGCAACGGACAAUAACGACACAAUCGAGGUCAAAUGUGAUCAAAAUGACAUUCUUUUAAACCAUCUCAUCACUCCUCAUCAAAUUCUCACCCACAAGGUAACUUCCAAUUAUUCUUUUCAAAUUGGGAUUAAUUAGCAAAAUUAAUUGAUUAAUUGCCCAAAUUAAUUGCAAGAUAUUAUUUCACAUAAUAUCCUGCAAUCAAUCCCACAAAUAAACCAAAUGCGGCGGGUCCCAAUUCUCCUAAUAGGGCCGGCCACACCCCUAUAUAUAGCCACUCAUUUUCUCCAAAACCUAAGUUCAAUUCUCUUCUAAAAUUCUCUAAAUUUCUCUAAACACUUUUCCCUUAAAUUCCAACUUUGUCAUCGGAGAUUCUUCGGCCAAAGCCCCCCAUUCAUCAUGGGCGCAUAAGCCUCUUGACUUUAAUCUUAGGUGUUAAUUGUUUUGCAAGUGCAUUUUCAUCCAAGAAGAAGAAGGCGGAAAUUUGCAUUCACAAAUUGGUGCUUUCAUUGAGAGUCUUGAUUUACACACUCGUAGAAAACUCUCGCAUUUAAGGUUUCUAAUUUUUUGUUCAUUCGUAGAUUUUUCGUACGUUCUUAUUUCUAAAAUUUUUUAUACAAAAAUUCUUUGAAUAAACAUAAAAGAAAAGUACAAUGACAAGAGA
Molecule: long non-coding RNA, 881 nt
Filed under: Malus domestica (apple)
Lineage: Eukaryota; Viridiplantae; Streptophyta; Magnoliopsida; Rosales; Rosaceae
Description: long non-coding RNA (MDOM_LNC015044)
Source: RNAcentral